This 351-nucleotide ribosomal RNA is filed under the name Anoxybacillus flavithermus TNO-09.006. Its description in RNAcentral is "bacterial SSU rRNA". It matches the Rfam family "Bacterial small subunit ribosomal RNA", at positions 23 to 362 of the family's 1533-position model. Lineage: Bacteria; Bacillati; Bacillota; Bacilli; Caryophanales; Anoxybacillaceae. The record is from RNAcentral.
CUCAGGACGAACGCUGGCGGCGUGCCUAAUACAUGCAAGUCGAGCGGACGAAUCGAAAGCUUGCUUUUGAUUCGUUAGCGGCGGACGGGUGAGUAACACGUGGGCAACCUGCCCUGUAGACGGGGAUAACACCGAGAAAUCGGUGCUAAUACCGGAUAACACGAAAUGUCGCAUGACGUUUCGUUGAAAGACGGCGCAAGUUGUCGCUACAGGAUGGGCCCGCGGCGCAUUAGCUAGUUGGUGAGGUAACGGCUCACCAAGGCGACGAUGCGUAGCCGACCUGAGAGGGUGAUCGGCCACACUGGGACUGAGACACGGCCCAGACUCCUACGGGAGGCAGCAGUAGGGAAU